Molecule: ribosomal RNA, 459 nt
Filed under: uncultured bacterium
Lineage: Bacteria
Description: partial 16S ribosomal RNA
Rfam family: Bacterial small subunit ribosomal RNA
Source: RNAcentral
CCUACGGGAGGCUGCAGUGAGGAAUAUUGGUCAAUGGCCGCAGGGCUGAACCAGCCAAGUCGCGUGAGGGAUGACGGUCCUAUGGAUUGUAAACCUCUUUUGUCAGGGAGCAAAGGGCGCCACGUGGGGCGCUUUGCGAGUACCUGAAGAAAAAGCAUCGGCUAACUCCGUGCACGCAGCCGCGGUAAUACGGUGGAUGCGAGCGUUAUCCGGAUUAAUGGGGGUUAAGGGGUGCGCAGGCGGAAUGUCAAGUCAGCGGUAAAAUUUCGGGGCUCAAACCCGUCUUUCCGUUGAAACUGGCGUUCUUGAGUGAGCGCGAAGUAUGCGGAAUGCGUGGGGUAGCGGUGAAUUGCAUAGAUAUCGCGCAGAACUCCGAUUGCGAAGGCAGCAUACCGGCGCUCAACUGACGCUCAUGCACGAAAGCGUGGGUAUCGAACAGGAUUAGAUACCCCAGUAGUC